RNAcentral lists this ribosomal RNA (482 nucleotides) under uncultured Actinomycetes bacterium. RNAcentral's name for it is "bacterial SSU rRNA". It matches the Rfam family "Bacterial small subunit ribosomal RNA", at positions 118 to 615 of the family's 1533-position model. Lineage: Bacteria; Bacillati; Actinomycetota; Actinomycetes. The record is from RNAcentral.
UGAGGAAUCUGCCUUCAACACUGGGAUAACUCCGGGAAACCGGGGCUAAUACCGGAUACGAGACCUGCAGGCAUCUGCGGGUCUGGAAAGUUUUUCGGUUGAAGAUGACCUCGCGGCCUAUCAGCUUGUUGGUGAGGUAAUGGCUCACCAAGGCGACGACGGGUAGCCGGCCUGAGAGGGCGACCGGCCACACUGGGACUGAGACACGGCCCAGACUCCUACGGGAGGCAGCAGUGGGGAAUAUUGGGCAAUGGAGGGAACUCUGACCCAGCGACGCCGCGUGCGGGAUGAAGGCCUUCGGGUUGUAAACCGCUUUCAGCAAGGAAGAAGCGAAAGUGACGGUACUUGCAGAAGAAGCACCGGCUAACUAUGUGCCAGCAGCCGCGGUAAUACAUAGGGUGCAAGCGUUGUCCGGAAUUAUUGGGCGUAAAGAGCUCGUAGGUGGUUCGUCACGUCGGAUGUGAAAAUCUGGGGCUUAACCC